Molecule: ribosomal RNA, 421 nt
Filed under: uncultured bacterium
Lineage: Bacteria
Description: bacterial SSU rRNA
Rfam family: Bacterial small subunit ribosomal RNA
Source: RNAcentral
UUGAGAGUGGCGAACGGGUGAGUAAUAUAUCGGAACGUGCCCAGUCGUGGGGAUAACGUAGCGAAAGUUACGCUAAUACCGCAUACGAUCUAUGGAUGAAAGCGGGGGAUCGCAAGACCUCGCGCGAUUGGAGCGGCCGAUAUCAGAUUAGGUAGUUGGUGAGGUAAAGGCUCACCAAGCCGACGAUCUGUAGCUGGUCUGAGAGGACGACCAGCCACACUGGGACUGAGACACGGCCCAGACUCCUACGGGAGGCAGCAGUGGGGAAUUUUGGACAAUGGGCGCAAGCCUGAUCCAGCAAUGCCGCGUGCAGGAUGAAGGCCUUCGGGUUGUAAACUGCUUUUGUACGGAACGAAACGGUGAGCUCUAAUACAGUUUGCUAAUGACGGUACCGUAAGAAUAAGCACCGGCUAACUACGUG